Molecule: long non-coding RNA, 328 nt
Filed under: Lathyrus oleraceus (garden pea)
Lineage: Eukaryota; Viridiplantae; Streptophyta; Magnoliopsida; Fabales; Fabaceae
Description: Pisum sativum (pea) long non-coding RNA (PSAT_LNC039267)
Source: RNAcentral
UGGAUUCAAGUUUAGUUUUGAUGCAAUGUGGAUUUAAAAAAAAAAAAAAAAGAAAUAUCAUGGCUGAAAUGAGAAAGAGAAAGAGAGUAAGGUUGUUUUCUCUUUUUGUUUUAUUAAAAAAUAUCCAUGCCACGUGUCAGUAUAUUAGAGGAUGUUAAUAAUUUUUUAAAAAAAGAAAUCACUUACUGUAUGCUGAGAAUGAGAAUCUCAUUUUGGUUAUGCUAUAAAUACAUUUCCACUCGCUUGUUUUAGUUUUGAAUAUGUUACUUCAUUUUUUGACUUCUUUUUGGUUUUAUUUAUUUUAGUAUAUAUAGUAUGUUGGUUUUGG